This 253-nucleotide ribosomal RNA is filed under the name uncultured bacterium. RNAcentral describes it as "partial 16S ribosomal RNA". It matches the Rfam family "Bacterial small subunit ribosomal RNA", at positions 524 to 776 of the family's 1533-position model. The record is from RNAcentral.
UACGUAGGGGGCGAGCGUUGUCCGGAUUUAUUGGGCGUAAAGAGCGUGUAGGCGGCCAAACAGGUCCGUUGUGAAAACUGGAGGCUCAACCUCCAGACGUCGACGGAAACCGUGUGGCUAGAGUCCGGAAGAGGAGAGUGGAAUUCCUGGUGUAGCGGUGAAAUGCGCAGAUAUCAGGAAGAACACCAAUGGCGAAGGCAGCUCUCUGGGACGGUACUGACGCUGAGAAGCGAAAGCAUGGGGAGCGAACAGG